Arachis ipaensis is the source of this 175-nucleotide non-coding RNA. Lineage: Eukaryota; Viridiplantae; Streptophyta; Magnoliopsida; Fabales; Fabaceae. The record is from RefSeq and is a predicted model, not a curated record.
GAAUAAUUGCUAUUAGGUAACGUUUGUUUUGCAGUACUGGAACAGAGACUGAGAGACUGAAACACAGUAUUAUGUUUGUUGGUUUAGAGACUGGUACUACAAUUUUUGUCUCUGUCUCCAAAAUUUCAGUAUUUCAGUGCCUCCAAAAUGUAGGGACACAUGAGACUGAAACUUU